This is a non-coding RNA of Ceratotherium simum simum (southern white rhinoceros), 904 nucleotides long. NCBI's taxonomy places the organism in Eukaryota, Metazoa, Chordata, Mammalia, Perissodactyla, Rhinocerotidae. The record is from RefSeq and is a predicted model, not a curated record.
AGCCUCGGGGCCGGCCCCAGAGCCUCUCUUAAUGAAUGGUACUAUCAAUUGCCUGAGCAAGAAACCUGGGAUUUAUCCUUGACUUGUUUCUAGCCACUUAACCAUGGUCCCCAAGGUCUACUAUUUCUCUCUCUUUAUUUCUCUUCUAACUUUCUUUCCUAUCUAUAUAUGGAUUCUCAAAAGGAUAUCUUUACUGGCUCUAUCAGCCUCCACACUAUAGUGGAGUUAUUUUACUAAGAACAAAUCUGAUCAUGUUAAUUACUUCCCUAGAACUCUUCAAUGGCUCCUCCCACGAGCCAUAAAAUAAAAUCCAAACCACUUAACACACCACCCCACCUACACAGUUGGUCUUUUCUCUUCUUAUUCUUCUCAGCCCAAAUUCACCUUCCAGGCUUGCAUUUCCAAGUCUUUUUAAUGGCUACUCUCUGUCUACAAUGCUUCCUAUCCCUUCUUCCUGGUGGACACUUGUUUUGUCCAUUAGGACUCAGUUCAGGCAUCAUCUACAAGGAACCCUUCCCUGGUCCCACCCACAGCCAACACCCAGUCUGAGGGGUUCCAUCUGUCUGAGAACACCGGCACAGUUUCUUACAGUGCACUGUAAAUGUCUGUUUACCUUGCUUGUUUCCCACGUCUUUGAGCAGGAACUGGUGUCUUAUUCAUCUUGUAGCGCCGGCACCCGGAAGGGCUCCCCACACACAGUAGGUCCUCAACAAACAUUAGGUCUUUCCCUUUCCUCCCUUAAGGAAUUUGGCCAAAGUCAUACAGCUAGAGAGUGGCAGAGCUGUGUGUUAACCAAAGACUAAACCUAGAGCUCAUGCUUUCUACAAUGCCAUGCUACUCUCCAACCUAGACAGAUGCCAUAGUUUUCAUCGGUGACUUGGAUUUGGUUCAGGAAAAUAAGACA